This 101-nucleotide transfer RNA is filed under the name Yellowstone lake phycodnavirus 1. It matches the Rfam family "tRNA". Rfam says of the family: Transfer RNA (tRNA) molecules are approximately 80 nucleotides in length. Their secondary structure includes four short double-helical elements and three loops (D, anti-codon, and T loops). Lineage: Varidnaviria; Bamfordvirae; Nucleocytoviricota; Megaviricetes; Algavirales; Phycodnaviridae. The record is from Rfam by way of RNAcentral.
CUGACCUUAGCUCAAUUGGUAGAGCGAAAGACUGUAGAGCACGUCUCUGAGUAGGAUGGUCAAUCAUCUUUAGGUCGCUGGUUCGAUUCCGGCAGGUCAGA